GGAAAGAAAUGCCACAAAUUCUAAGACAUAAGUCCAUUAUAUCAUGCAAUAUGGUCACCAUGCACAAGAUUGACAUAAAAGGCACCUCUGUUCUAAUAAUUGAACCAACAACUGAAGAAAUGUGAUGAAAUCAAAUGUCACAACAGCCCCAUCUAAUCCUUGCUCUGGCUUGGCCCUUAACUCCCUAAUCCCUAGGUUUUCUAUUACUCAGUAGAUGAUUAUUGACAAUCAAAUAAAUUGUUUGAGAAUUAG
RNAcentral lists this unclassified non-coding RNA (252 nucleotides) under Hevea brasiliensis (rubber tree). Lineage: Eukaryota; Viridiplantae; Streptophyta; Magnoliopsida; Malpighiales; Euphorbiaceae. The record is from RNAcentral.